Molecule: long non-coding RNA, 199 nt
Organism: Daphnia pulex (common water flea)
Lineage: Eukaryota; Metazoa; Arthropoda; Branchiopoda; Diplostraca; Daphniidae
Exons: 3
Source: RefSeq, a predicted model, not a curated record
UUUGCUGUCAAAAGUUUCUUCGAAAAUUACCAAUGAAUUCAUAGGAGGAAAUGUGAAAGGUCGUGGCCGUCGUGCAGCCUACCGUCAACUAUUUUGUUCAAAAUCAUUGUAUUCUACUGAAUGUGCCAUUGAAAUGAUACAGGAGUCAUAAUUAUCUGCUGUUUGUAUUGGACUUGCUAGAUCACCAACCCCAGGCCCC